GUCCACGCCCUAAAACGAUGGCAACUGGGUGUUGGGGGAGCGAUUCCUCAGUACCGUAGCUAACGCGUGAAGUUGCCCGCCUGGGGAGUACGGCCGCAAGGUUAAAACUCAAAGGAAUUGACGGGGACCCGCACAAGCGGUGGAUGAUGUGGAUUAAUUCGAUGCAACGCGAACAACCUUACCUACCCUUGACAUGUCCGGAACCCCAUUGAGAGGUGGGGGUGCCCGAAAGGGAAUCGGAACACAGGUGCUGCAUGGCUGUCGU
This 265-nucleotide ribosomal RNA is filed under the name uncultured bacterium. Its description in RNAcentral is "partial 16S ribosomal RNA". It matches the Rfam family "Bacterial small subunit ribosomal RNA", at positions 793 to 1055 of the family's 1533-position model. The record is from RNAcentral.